This 1159-nucleotide long non-coding RNA is filed under the name Mus musculus (house mouse). RNAcentral's name for it is "per-hexamer repeat gene 2". Lineage: Eukaryota; Metazoa; Chordata; Mammalia; Rodentia; Muridae. The record is from RNAcentral.
CCCUUGGGUGGUGGCAGAAUCAAGUUGCUAGCAGCAGGCAAUCACUCGUGAGCUUUCUUCCUCUGUAGGUGCCUGGCCCAUUUAGUUACACACUGCAAAUCAAAACCUGCCACAACAGAAUCAAGAGAAAUGCUGACACUCCAAUCCUCUGGUACAGGACAGAGGAAAGUGGCAGUACAUAUGGGAUUAUUAGAAAAUAUAAGUCUAAAAAUAUCUAAAGAAGUUGGAGGUCUAUAUGAUACAAGGAUGGCUCAACAAGGGCAGCUAUUAAAGUUGUUGGUGGGUACAGUGAGAAAGUGGGACCAUUCAUUUUUUAUGGAUCUGUGAAAUUUUAUAUACUUAGAAUUUAAAACUUAAAAGAUAUCCUAACUACAAAACUUUUAUAAUAGACAGGCUAUCAGCUCAUGUCUGAACAGAAGAUCUAUUAUCAAAUAAUAUAACUUCAGCAAAUGCAUUAAUAUAGUAUAUAUAUAUAUGUAUGUGUAUAUAUAUAUAUAUAUAUAUUAAUAUAUAUGAAUGUCUUUUCAAGACAGGGUUUCUCUGUGUAGCCCUGGCUGUCCUGGAACUUACUCUAUAGACCAGGCUGGUCUUGAACUCAGAACUGUGUCUUUCUUCUCAGUGUUGAGAUUACAGGUAUAUGUCACCAUACUCAACAAUGAUUUAUGUAUUUGUCGGAAAUGUUUUAAACAAGAAGAUUCUAGAGCUCCUAAAUGAAUGAUAACAAUCAAAGGAUGCUCCAGGCACAGGGGUGUCAGGCACAGGGUUGUCAGGCAUAGGGGUGUCAGGCACAGGGGUGUCAGCAGGGUCUCUGGGGCCCUUAAAAACCCUGGCUGGGCAGGGACUGUGGGGCUAAUAAUGAACUUCUGAUAUACUCCACUGUGUUUCUUUCGGAUUUACAUAGAUAUUUCUAACCAUCUCCCAAAGCUUCUGACAUAUUGUGCAUAUCUCCAGGUUACAAAUGAUUGUUCAAAAAGAGGGCAUAAUUUUGAGUUGAAUUUUGAGAAACUUGUGUGAAAUAGUUUGUCUUUAAAACCAAGGCAGUGGGGUUGGGGAUUUAGUUCAGUGGUAAAGCACUUGCCUAGCAAGCAGAAGGCCCUGGGUUCUAUCCUCAGCUAUGGGAACAAACAAACAAACAAACAAACCUAAAUACAUAAAUAAA